RNAcentral lists this ribosomal RNA (495 nucleotides) under uncultured bacterium. Its description in RNAcentral is "partial 16S ribosomal RNA". It matches the Rfam family "Bacterial small subunit ribosomal RNA", at positions 29 to 507 of the family's 1533-position model. The record is from RNAcentral.
AUGCACGCUGGCGGCGUGCCUAAUACAUGCAAGUCGAGCGAACGGACGAGAAGCUUGCUUCUCUGAUGUUAGCGGCGGACGGGUGAGUAACACGUGGAUAACCUACCUAUAAGACUGGGAUAACUUCGGGAAACCGGAGCUAAUACCGGAUAAUAUUUUGAACCGCAUGGUUCAAAAGUGAAAGACGGUCUUGCUGUCACUUAUAGAUGGAUCCGCGCUGCAUUAGCUAGUUGGUAAGGUAACGGCUUACCAAGGCAGCGAUGCAUAGCCGACCUGAGAGGGUGAUCGGCCAAACGGGAACUGAGACACGGCCCAGACACCUAGGGAGGGCAGAAGAAGGGAAGUUUCCGAAAGGGGCGAAAGCCUGAGGAAGAAACGCGGGGUAGGGAAUGAGGGUCUUCGAACGGUAAAACUUUGUAAUAGGGAAGAACAUAUGUGUAAGUAACUGUGCACAUCUUGACGGUACCUAAUCAGAAAGCCACGGCUAACUACGUG